Long non-coding RNA from Homo sapiens (human), 529 nucleotides. The record is from Ensembl. Lineage: Eukaryota; Metazoa; Chordata; Mammalia; Primates; Hominidae.
GGUUGGGCUCCUGGGAUUCCCAUGCGCGUGGACGGUGGGUCAGAUGCUGUAGCCGCCAUCUGAAGCCGACGUGUGAAACUUCAGCUUCUUAGCAAGGGUGUCUGUACAUGCUUGUCCCCUCCCCACGGUGGCGUGCUCAAUGGUGGCUCCCCACAGAUAUGUCCGUGUCCUAAUUCCCGGAGCCUUUGGGUCUCAUGUAGCCAAUGAUGUGAAAAAGUGAAGGAUGCUGAGAGGAGAUCAUCCAGAUGUCUUAGAGGAUAAAAAUGAGCGGGCAGAUGAAGAGAUACUCAGGGUGAGGUUUGGAAGGUGCACCAGGCCCACCCCAUGGAUGUGGCUCAGAGAGCCUGGGAAACGUGAGGUCUGUGACCUGGAUCAGGCCCAGAGAGACCUGAGCAGGAGGCGUGUGAAGCCCCUGCGCCUGUGCGAGGAGGGAAGCUGUUUCAGGGAAUUUGCCUUUCUUUCCCUGUAGUUUCAGACUAGCUGAUAAAUUACCUAAAAUGUUACCACAAGAUGCACAAUGUAACCAUCA